AGGAUAAUAGUUAAAUAUAACAUUUAAUUUGCAUUUAAAAAGUAUUGAAUCAUCAAUUUAUCUUA
RNAcentral lists this transfer RNA (65 nucleotides) under Sunius melanocephalus. RNAcentral's name for it is "tRNA-Ala". It matches the Rfam family "tRNA". From Rfam's summary of the family: Transfer RNA (tRNA) molecules are approximately 80 nucleotides in length. Their secondary structure includes four short double-helical elements and three loops (D, anti-codon, and T loops). The record is from RNAcentral. Lineage: Eukaryota; Metazoa; Arthropoda; Insecta; Coleoptera; Staphylinidae.